CAGUAGCCGCGGUAAUACGAAGGUCCCGAGCGUUGUUCGGAAUCACUGGGCGUAAAGGGAGCGUAGGCGGCGUGGUAAGUCAGAUGUGAAAUCCCGGGGCUCAACCCCGGAACUGCAUCCGAUACUGCCAUGCUAGAGGAUUGGAGAGGUAGCUGGAAUUCUUGGUGUAGCAGUGAAAUGCGUGGAGAUCAAGAGGAACACUCGUGGCGAAAGCGAGCUACUGGACAAUAACUGACGCUGAGGCUCGAAGGCCAGGGUAGCGAAAGGGAUUAGAUACCCGUGUAGUCCCUGUCUCUUAUAC
This 301-nucleotide ribosomal RNA is filed under the name uncultured bacterium. RNAcentral's name for it is "partial 16S ribosomal RNA". It matches the Rfam family "Bacterial small subunit ribosomal RNA", at positions 509 to 807 of the family's 1533-position model. The record is from RNAcentral.